RNAcentral lists this ribosomal RNA (253 nucleotides) under uncultured bacterium. RNAcentral's name for it is "partial 16S ribosomal RNA". It matches the Rfam family "Bacterial small subunit ribosomal RNA", at positions 524 to 776 of the family's 1533-position model. The record is from RNAcentral.
UACGUAGGGUGCAAGCGUUAAUCGGAAUUACUGGGCGUAAAGCGUGCGCAGGCGGUGAUGUAAGACAGUUGUGAAAUCCCCGGGCUCAACCUGGGAACUGCAUCUGUGACUGCAUCGCUGGAGUGCGGCAGAGGGGGAUGGAAUUCCGCGUGUAGCGGUGAAAUGCGUAGAUAUCUGGAGGAACACCGGUGGCGAAGGCGGCAUCCUGGACCAACACUGACACUGAUGAGCGAAAGCCAGGGGAGCAAACGGG